Odocoileus virginianus texanus is the source of this 869-nucleotide non-coding RNA. The record is from RefSeq and is a predicted model, not a curated record. NCBI's taxonomy places the organism in Eukaryota, Metazoa, Chordata, Mammalia, Artiodactyla, Cervidae.
AUGCCAUUUCCAGUCACAACACAGGGAUCACAGCAAACAUAGCUGCCACAGAAGCACUAUGGCAUUACUUCUCCCAUCAGCUUAGCAGCGCCCAAGGAGACUGACUGCCUGCUCACACAGAAGCUAGUUGAGACUCUGAAGCCCUUUGGGGUUUUUGAAGAGGAAGAGGAACUGCAGCGCAGGAUUUUAAUUUUGGGAAAAUUAAAUAACCUGGUAAAAGAGUGGAUACGAGAAAUCAGUGAAAGCAAGAAUCUUCCACAAUCUGUAGUUGCAAAUGUUGGUGGGAAAACUUUUACAUUUGGAUCUUAUAGAUUAGGAGUACGUAUAAAAGGUGCUGAUAUUGAUGCAUUGUGUGUUGCACCAAGACAUGUUGAUCAAAGUGAUUUUUUUCACCUCCUUCUAUGAUAAGUUGAAAUUACAGGAAGAAGUAGAAGAUUUAAGAGCUGUUGAAGAGGCAUUUGUACCAGUUAUCAAACUGUGUUUUGAUGGGAUAGAGAUUGAUAUUUUGUUUGCAAGAUUAGCACUGCAGACUAUUCCAGAAGACUUGGACUUAAGAGAUGACAGUCUGCUUAAAAAUUUAGAUAUAAGAUGUAUAAGAAGUCUUAACGGUUGCAGGGUAACCGAUGAAAUUUUACAUCUAGUACCAAACAUUGACAACUUCAGGUUAACCCUGAGAGCUAUCAAACUGUGGGCCAAACGCCACAACAUCUAUUCCAAUAUAGUAGGUUUCCUCGGUGGUGUUUCCUGGGCUAUGCUAGUAGCAAGAACUUGCCAGCUUUAUCCAAAUGCAAUAGCGUCAACUCUUGUACAUAAAUUUUUCUUGGUAUUUUCUAAAUGGUAUGUGUUUAGAUUAUAUUAAAAUAAAAUUG